GACGAACGCUGGCGGCGUGCUUAACACAUGCAAGUCGAACGCUGAAGCUCAGCUUUUGUUGGGUGGAUGAGUGGCGAACGGGUGAGUAACACGUGAGUAACCUGCCCCCUUCUUUGGGAUAACGCCCGGAAACGGGUGCUAAUACUGGAUAUUCACUGGUCUUCGCAUGGGGGUUGGUGGAAAGGGUUUUUCUGGUGGGGGAUGGGCUCGCGGCCUAUCAGCUUGUUGGUGGGGUGAUGGCCUACCAAGGCUUUGACGGGUAGCCGGCCUGAGAGGGUGACCGGUCACAUUGGGACUGAGAUACGGCCCAGACUCCUACGGGAGGCAGCAGCGGGGAAUAUUGCACAAUGGGCGCAAGCCUGAUGCAGCGACGCCGCGUGAGGGAUGGAGGCCUUCGGGUUGUGAACCUCUUUCGCUCAUGGUCAAGCCGCAACAAUGGUUGUGGUGAGGGUAGUGGGUAAAGAAGCGCCGGCUAACUACGUG
Molecule: ribosomal RNA, 483 nt
Filed under: uncultured bacterium
Lineage: Bacteria
Description: partial 16S ribosomal RNA
Rfam family: Bacterial small subunit ribosomal RNA
Source: RNAcentral